Anas platyrhynchos (mallard) is the source of this 3337-nucleotide long non-coding RNA. RefSeq lists it as uncharacterized. Lineage: Eukaryota; Metazoa; Chordata; Aves; Anseriformes; Anatidae. The record is from RefSeq and is a predicted model, not a curated record.
GAAAACAGAAGCACACCGGGCAGGGCAGGAUGAGGCAUCUCAUUUCUCAGCCCUGCUUCCUACCACCGGAUGUGAGGCGCAUGAGGGGAGGCAGGCCGGGGGAGGCAGGCCCCUGCUGCCAGGGCCUGGCACUGGCGCUGUGCAGCCCCUUGGGGGGCGGGCAGGGGCGGCCUUGCAGCGCCCCAAGCUCCUCCAGGCCCUGCCCGCAGCACUGGUGCCGUGCCCGGCUGCUGAGAUGCCAAGGGGCACCUCGCCGCUUGGGUCCCGGCCGAGCCCAGAGGUGGCUCACGGGCACGGGUCGGGUUCUCCAGUUAUCUUUUCUCUGGAGAGCAGCAGGGUGCACCCUGAGCACGGCUCUGUGCUCUGUCACAAGAACACCUGCAGCCCCAAGCUGAGGAUGAUGCAGGUGUGGAGCCCUAUGGAGCCUGAUGGCCUGAGUAGCCCCACCUGGCCCCGCAGCUGCCCGGGGCCACGAGCACAUUUAAGCCCAACUCUGUGCCCACAGCCUGUUUAAGCUGUGUGCUGUAUGGUGCUGGUGUUCUGCUGUGGACCAUGUUGUUCCAGAUUCUGGCCUGUAGGCUGGUGGCUUGGCCUCGUUCCUGCCUCAUCCCCAUGGAGCUGACCAGCAGCAGGACCUGAGCCUGACUGUAGGCAGUGUGGCACCCACAGGAUGAACAGAACAGCCAAGAAACAAAAUAUGAGAUGAGCUGAUGCAGUAACUCCCUGAUUACCCAAAAGAUGGAGGACUAGUGUCCUACAAUCUGACCUUCAAUAGAAAAAGAAAAAAUUCUGCUCCUGCAUGAGCUGCGGUGUUGCCUUGGGAGCUGCAAAACCAGCACGAGUGAAGGAGGGGAGUGAGCUGCCCGCUGCUGUUCUGAGCAGACAUCCAGCCCCCAGCAGGGCCUGGCACGGGGGCUGUGGGACUUGUGCCUCCAAGCAGCUCUGUCACCAGGUAGGACAGGAGCCAGACCUGAGGGACAGGUAAGGACACCUCACAUCGGUGAGCAGAGCUGUCAGUUCUCCAUGCAUCACCUCUGCGCUGAUGUCCUGGCCUGAGGAGCCCUUCCUGGUGUGCUCAUGUCCAUAGUACGCAGCUGGUGUUGUGCACUUCCUCGGUGUUGUGGCCAGACCAAAUCAAAAUGGACAGAAGAAAGUGUCGGUGCAGCAGCAGUGGGGAAGUGGAAGCUCCUGCUCUGCUGGAGCAGCUCGGAGGAGCCGGGGCUGCAGGCCUGCAGAGCGCCCGCCUGGCUGCCCAGGAGCUCUGCUCACCACGUGCAGCCUGGCCUGCAGCAGUGAUGUGCACCAAGGUAUGUCAAACGGCCAAAACCAGGAGCUGCUCUAGUAAACUGUACUCCUCUGCAGGGAAUACUACACAGCCUUCUUGAAUAAGACUAAAAGAUUAAACUCAAAGCACAAUGAAAUGCAAAAAAUGCUGUGAAACCUGGUGGGUGGUCUUUUUUUAUUACAGUGAGCUCCUGAAAUAUUCCUGCAUUUCAGGAUCAUGUCACUACCUGAAAUGCUUUGCGAUCUCCUUAUUAAAAAGCAACCCACAUGCAUCCCAGUAGAAGGCAGGUGUCUGCUGCAGAGCUUGCAAGUCUUCAAAAACCUGCCCUGGCUGGGUUGUUUCCUCUAGUUAAGAAUUUGCUGUGAUUUUAAGAAGUGGUGUUUCAGCUCUGUUGCUGUUGACCUUCAGCCAGGGCAAUGCAGUGCCUAAGGCUCUCGCUGUCUCUGAGGAUGAAGGUUUGGUAACUACCGGGGUUCCUGGCAAACCCUGCCUGGGAAUCAGAGAUAAAAGCCACCCAGAGCCCUCUCAGGACGCAGUCUGUGCUUGUGCACUUCCCUCACUCUACCUGUCAGUUGCUAUUCUACAGGAUGGACUCAUGGCAGGGAGAUGUGCAUUGACAGCUACGCCUUUCCCAGUUGCAGAGGUGCCUAAAUUAAAACCUCCACAGGAGAUACGAGGACCUUCUAUUUCCUUUCAGAAUAAUCAAAGUUUAAAUGAGGAAUAUAGAAGGGAAGUAGCUGUCUGGAGACACUCUGGUGCACCAAGUUUAAAGGCAGCAGGCUAAACAAAUCUGUGUGCCUAAAACCAGGUGGCAGCAGCUGAGCCUGGACCCGCAGCAGUUUCAGCAUGCAACUGGCUUUUAUCUGAAGGCAGGCACGGGGAGUGGGGUGGGGUGGUGCAUGUGGCUGUAUGAGCCCGCUGUGAACCAGUGCUGUCCCCAGCAUUGGGACCUGAGGAAUGAUAGCAGUGGGCUGGCCUUGGCUCUGGUGUUUAGCCGGAAAGGUGAUGAUCUGAGGGAAGGGGGGUGGUCCAAGCUGCUGGAGUGGGGUAACAGAAGUAGAGCCCCUGUGCACUGCUAACAACCAUGGCAAGUAUGUGUGAUAACUUGGAACAAGGUUCUGGAGGAUGAGAAGGAUGAGUGUGUGUACAGCCACAGCUCCACUGUGAUAGCCAAGACUGGCUUAAAUUCCUCCUGUUCAGGAUCUCAAAAACAAGAUGCUGGGGUGAACUGGACAGUAUUUGUGACUGCAGGACUCAUGGGAGAAGAUGUGGCUGAAUAAAAAAAAACACCUUGAAGAACUGUUAAAAUAUUCAGUGGAUAACAAUUCUAAUACUUUUGAGUAACCACGGUGGUGGAUUAACCAACUGCAGCAUAGUUAUUCACAUACCCAAUACGAAGUGUACAAGUACAUGUAUUUGCUGAUUCAGAGCCUGUGCUUAUGCUCUGUGAAAGAACACAAUAGUGCCUUUCCCUCAGACUUAAAACUCUGCCAAGGCUUCAAGGUCUCUGUUAGCAGCUCCUGAGCCCUCACCCCAAGCUGUGCCAGCCACCCCCAGCUCCAGCAGGGAAGCUGAUGCUGUGCUGCAGGGUGGUGCUCACUGGGGGCAGCUCCUUGCAGGGAAGGAGCAGCUGAACUGUGCUAGAAAGUGACUUGUAUCUUGGAAAAAAAAUGUUAUUGCAGAUCGUGCCAUAGACACAUUGGGAUAUAUGUUUGCAGUGUAUCUUAGAAUAUUUUGUGGAUACUAAGCAGCAAUUAGUCUUCCUUUGGAAUCAAUUCAUUUCAUACUGCUGUGGUAGCAGGGAGAAUCUUAUUGAAACUCGAGGAUUUUUAAUAUUAUUACACUAAAGACUCAGUAUCAGCAUCUCCGUGGGGGAGCAUUAGCACACUGUAAUGUGCAACAACUUCUCCACUUCAGGAAAUCUUGUUGUAUUUGUAAUAGGGCAUUUGGGGCAUAUAUUAUGUAUGGGACAUAUUUCUCUUUUCCACCAGGCAUCAUCUUUCCUUCUGUCUAAAUUACUCUCCAAAUAAAGAGAAAGAGGAGAAAAAAAAA